UACGUAGGGGGCAAGCGUUGUCCGGAUUUACUGGGCGUAAAGAGCGCGUAGGCGGCUCGUUAAGUGUAGAGUGAAAUCUCUGGGCUCACCCCAGAAACUGCUCUGCAUACUGGCGAGCUUGAGUGAUGAAGAGGUUUGUGGAAUUCCUGGUGUAACGGUGAAAUGUGUUGAUAUCAGGAGGAACACCCAUGGCGAAGGCAGCAAACUGGUCAUCAACUGACGCUGAGGCGCGAAAGCGUGGGUAGCAAACAGG
This 253-nucleotide ribosomal RNA is filed under the name uncultured bacterium. Its description in RNAcentral is "partial 16S ribosomal RNA". It matches the Rfam family "Bacterial small subunit ribosomal RNA", at positions 524 to 776 of the family's 1533-position model. The record is from RNAcentral.